AUUACAUACAGCAGGUGGGUUAAGGAUGGGAGAUGGAUGGGGAACAUUACAUACAGCAGGUGGGUUAAGGAUGGGAGAUGGAUGGGGAACAUUACAUACAGCAGGUGGGUUAAGGAUGGGAGAUGGAUGGGGAACAUUACAUACAGCAGGUGGGUUAAGGAUGGGAGAUGGAUGGGGAACAUUACAUACAGCAGGUGGGUUAAGGAUGGGAG
Molecule: long non-coding RNA, 212 nt
Organism: Oncorhynchus tshawytscha (Chinook salmon)
Lineage: Eukaryota; Metazoa; Chordata; Actinopteri; Salmoniformes; Salmonidae
Exons: 3
Source: RefSeq, a predicted model, not a curated record